AGUGAACGCUGGCGGUAGGCCUAACACAUGCAAGUCGAACGGCAGCACAGUAAGAGCUUGCUCUUACGGGUGGCGAGUGGCGGACGGGUGAGGAAUACAUCGGAAUCUACUUUUUCGUGGGGGAUAACGUAGGGAAACUUACGCUAAUACCGCAUACGACCUACGGGUGAAAGCAGGGGAUCUUCGGACCUUGCGCGAUUGAAUGAGCCGAUGUCGGAUUAGCUAGUUGGCGGGGUAAAGGCCCACCAAGGCGACGAUCCGUAGCUGGUCUGAGAGGAUGAUAGCCACACUGGAACUGAGACACGGUCCAGACUCCUACGGGAGGCAGCAGUGGGGAAUAUUGGACAAUGGGCGCAAGCCUGAUCCAGCCAUACCGCGUGGGUGAAGAAGGCCUUCGGGUUGUAAAGCCCUUUUGUUGGGAAAGAAAAGCAGCAGGUUAAUACCCCGCUGUUCUGACGGUACCCAAAGAAUAAGCACCGGCUAACUUCGUG
Molecule: ribosomal RNA, 491 nt
Filed under: uncultured bacterium
Lineage: Bacteria
Description: partial 16S ribosomal RNA
Rfam family: Bacterial small subunit ribosomal RNA
Source: RNAcentral